ACGGAGGGGGCGAGCGUUAUUCGGAAUUAUUGGGCGUAAAGGGCGCGUAGGCGGCUGGUCAAGUCAAAGGUGAAAUCCCUCGGCUCAACUGAGGAACUGCCUUUGAAACUAGCGAGCUUGAGGCCGGGAGGGGGUAGCGGAAUUCCCAGUGUAGCGGUGAAAUGCGUAGAUACUGGGAGGAACACCAGUGGCGAGGGCGGCUACCUGGACCGGUACUGACGCUGAGGCGCGAAAGCGUGGGUAGCAAACAGGA
Molecule: ribosomal RNA, 253 nt
Filed under: uncultured prokaryote
Description: partial 16S ribosomal RNA
Rfam family: Bacterial small subunit ribosomal RNA
Source: RNAcentral